Molecule: ribosomal RNA, 253 nt
Filed under: uncultured bacterium
Lineage: Bacteria
Description: partial 16S ribosomal RNA
Rfam family: Bacterial small subunit ribosomal RNA
Source: RNAcentral
UACGGAGGGGGCUAGCGUUGUUCGGAAUUACUGGGUGUAAAGCGCACGUAGGCGGCUUUGUAAGUUAGAGGUGAAAGCCCGGGGCUCAACUCCGGAAUUGCCUUUAAGACUGCAUCGCUAGAAUUGUGGAGAGGUAAGUGGAAUUCCGAGUGUAGAGGUGAAAUUCGUAGAUAUUCGGAAGAACACCAGUGGCGAAGGCGACUUACUGGACACAUAUUGACGCUGAGGUGCGAAAGCGUGGGGAGCAAACAGG